UACGGAAGGCAGUAGUGGGGAAUAUUGCACAAUGGGCGAAAGCCUGAUGCAGCUAUGCCGCGUGUAUGAAGAAGGCCUUAGGGUUGUAAAGUACUUUCAUCGGGGAGGAAAAAACAAAACUAAUAAUUUUAUUUCUUGACGUUACCCGAAAAAGAAGCACCGGCUAACUCCGUGCCAGCAGCCGCGGUAAUACGGAGGGUGCUAGCGUUAAUCAGAAUUACUGGGCGUAAAGAGCACGUAGGUGGUUUUUUUAAAGUCAGAUGUGAAAUCCCUGGGCUUAACCUAGGAACUGCAUUUUGAAACUGAAAUACUAGAGUAUCGUAGAGGGAGGUAGAAUUCUAGGUGUAGCGGUGAAAUGCGUAGAUAUCUGGAGGAAUACCUGUGGCGAAAGCGGCCUCCUAAACGAAUACUGACACUGAGGGUGCGAAAGCGUGGGGAGCAAACAGGGAUUAGAUACC
RNAcentral lists this ribosomal RNA (458 nucleotides) under uncultured bacterium. RNAcentral's name for it is "bacterial SSU rRNA". It matches the Rfam family "Bacterial small subunit ribosomal RNA", at positions 340 to 786 of the family's 1533-position model. The record is from RNAcentral.